This 1377-nucleotide long non-coding RNA is filed under the name Anser brachyrhynchus (Pink-footed goose). RNAcentral's name for it is "lncRNA (ENSABRG00000015000.1)". The record is from RNAcentral. Lineage: Eukaryota; Metazoa; Chordata; Aves; Anseriformes; Anatidae.
GAGGAGGGCCCCAACUUAGCGGAACCGGCCCCGAAAACGCCGAGGGAAGAAGCAGAGCGCGAGGCGGGCGCGGUUUUUAAAAAGAAGAGCGCUUUAAUUUACACAGAAGUACUAAAUGUACAUAAUUCUUUAAAAAACUCGGUAUGCACAAUAAAUACAGUACAAAAUUAUUUUAUAGUACUAUAUUUCGUUUCCGACGGUGACCGCGGUCACCGGUACCGGCGGGCGGGACGGGGACGGGCUCGGGGGGCGCCGGGGGCUUCUCCCCCCGCCGCUGCCCUGCGCCGGCGGAGCCGGGGGUUUGGGGCGUUUUGGGGGAUUUUACCUGGUUUUGGGGAGUAACGGCGCGGGGGGGGGACGGCGGCGAGGCCCCGGGGCCGGAAGCGGCCGCCCCCGGCCCCGCCGAGAGGAUUUUUUCCUGGGAAAUUUGGAAAUUUGGGAGGUGGAGGGGACGGGAGCCCUGCUGCGGCGGGGAGGGAGCCGGCGCAGAACGGCCUUUUUGGUGAAAAAAAAGGGGGAUUUGGGGUUCUUCGCCGGCUCCGGCUCGCGGGGGAAGGAAAAAGAACGAGCUACCGGUCCCAACCCGCGCUUCCUUCUCGGUUUUUAAAAAAAAAAAGAAAAAAAAAGAGAGACACUAAACGAAACCCAAACAAUUUAAUAUACAUUUUUAUAUAUAUAUACGUAUAUAUAAAAAAGAAAACGCCAAAUAUUUUCGCCUGGGAAGCGUCGUCCCUUAUUGCUACCCAGCCGCGUGGCGGCUUCGCCCCGCUCGCGGCGCCCGAGGACCAGAAAUCGAGAGAAUUCCACGAAAAAUUCCCUUGGAGCAGCCCUGCCCUCUCCGUGCGGGGGGGGAUUACAAAAAAUAAAAUAAAAAAGGGGGGAAAAAAGCGCAAAAAAAAUAAAAAAAAAAGGUCAGAGCGAGGCGCGGGCACGCGGAGCGACCCCGCGAGCGGGUGGAAAUGCGUGCCGGAAGAAAAGCCUCAACCGUUUUGGGGAGAUUCCUCCCUUUUUGGCGAUUCCGCGGCGCGGGGAAUUCUCCUCGCCGCCCCCCCCCCCCCCCGCGGGUUUCGGGGGCGCACGGACGCUUUAAGGCCUCUUUCGGGGACGAAACAAGAAGAAAAGGGAGCGGGGGGCCAGAGCCGCGCCAGCUCCCGACCGGGCCGAAUACAUGAAAGCGGGGGUUUUUGGCCCAAAAAGCCGCCCGCCGCCGGAGCCUUGACGCUUUCGGGACGGGCUUCGGGCACCGAGGGGCUGGGACGGAGCCGCCCGCGGGGAGCGACGGCGCUGGCGGCCCGGCCGGGUCCCAGGCCCGGCGCCGCAGAUUUAUGGGUUCUUCUCGGAAAAGAGAGGAAAGAAGAAAAAAAAAAANNNNNNNNN